CCCUUAGAUGUUCUGGGCCGCACGCGCGCUACACUGACGAAGUCAGCGAGCAUGUCCUACGCCGACAGGUGCGGGGAAUCUUGUCAAACUUCGUCGUGAUGGGGAUUGAUUAUUGAAAUUCUUGAUCAUCAACGAGGAAUUCCUAGUAAGCGCAAGUCAGCAGCUUGCGUUGAUUACGUCCCUGCCCUUUGUACACACCGCCCGUCGCUACUACCGAUUGAAUGGUUUAGUGAGAUCUUCGGAUUGGCGCCACUGUGGCUCAGCAAUGGGCUCGGUGGAUGCCGAAAAGUUGAUCAAACUUGAUCAUUUAGAGGAAGUAAAAGUCGUAACA
Molecule: ribosomal RNA, 331 nt
Filed under: uncultured eukaryote
Lineage: Eukaryota
Description: partial 18S ribosomal RNA
Rfam family: Eukaryotic small subunit ribosomal RNA
Source: RNAcentral